RNAcentral lists this unclassified non-coding RNA (405 nucleotides) under uncultured Cortinarius. RNAcentral's name for it is "sequence contains ITS2". The stretch from base 1 to 154 matches the Rfam family "5.8S ribosomal RNA". Lineage: Eukaryota; Fungi; Basidiomycota; Agaricomycetes; Agaricales; Cortinariaceae. The record is from RNAcentral.
AACUUUCGGCAACGGAUCUCUUAGCUCUCGCAUCGAUGGAGAACGCAGCGAAAUGCGAUAAGUAAUGUGAAUUGCAGAAUUCAGUGAAUCAUCGAAUCUUUGAACGCACCUUGCGCUCUUUGGUAUUCCGAGGAGCAUACCUUUUUGAGUGUCAUUAAUAUAAAUAUCAGCCCUCUCUUGUUGUGUGGUUUGGAUGUGGGGGUUUGCUGGCCUCUUAAAGGGGGUUCAGCUCUCCUGAAAUGCAUUAGCAGAACAACCUGUUCAUUGGUGUGAUAACUAUCUACGCUAUUGAAUGUGAAGGGAAGUUCAGCUUUCUAACAGUCCUUGGACAAUUUACAUCAUUAAUGUGACCUCAAAUCAGGUAGGACUACCCGCUGAACUUAAGCAUAUCAAUAAGCGGAGGCU